UGGGGAAUUUUGCACAAUGGGGGAAACCCUGAUGCAGCGACGCCGCGUGAUUUAGAAGGCCUUCGGGUUGUAAAAAUCUUUUCUAUGGGAAGAAAAUGACAGUACCAUAGGAAUAAGGACCGGCUAAAUACGUGCCAGCAGCCGCGGUAAUACGUAAGGUCCGAGCGUUGUCCGGAAUCAUUGGGCGUAAAGGGUACGUAGGCGGGUAAGCAAGUUAGAAGUGAAAUCCUCUAGCUCAACUAUAGUAAGCUUUUAAAGCUGCUCAUCUUGAGGUAUGGAAGGGAAAGUGGAAUUCCUAGUGUAGCGGUGAAAUGCGCAGAUAUUAGGAGGAAUACCGGUGGCGAAGGCGACUUUCUGGCCAUAACCUGACGCUGAGGUACGAAAGCGUGGGUAGCAAACAGG
Molecule: ribosomal RNA, 402 nt
Filed under: bacterium
Lineage: Bacteria
Description: partial 16S ribosomal RNA
Rfam family: Bacterial small subunit ribosomal RNA
Source: RNAcentral